CAGCAGCCACGGGAAUACGGAGGGCGCGAGCGUUACCCGGAUUUACUGGGCGUAAAGGGCGUGUAGGCGGCCUGGGGCGUCCCAUGUGAAAGGCCACGGCUCAACCGUGGAGGAGCGUGGGAUACGCUCAGGCUAGAGGGUGGGAGAGGGUGGUGGAAUUCCCGGAGUAGCGGUGAAAUGCGCAGAUACCGGGAGGAACGCCGAUGGCGAAGGCAGCCACCUGGUCCACUUCUGACGCUGAGGCGCGAAAGCGUGGGGAGCAAACCGGAUUAGAUACCCCAGUAGUCCCUGUCUCUUAUAA
Molecule: ribosomal RNA, 301 nt
Filed under: uncultured bacterium
Lineage: Bacteria
Description: partial 16S ribosomal RNA
Rfam family: Bacterial small subunit ribosomal RNA
Source: RNAcentral